Sceloporus undulatus (fence lizard) is the source of this 531-nucleotide long non-coding RNA. RefSeq lists it as uncharacterized. The record is from RefSeq and is a predicted model, not a curated record. NCBI's taxonomy places the organism in Eukaryota, Metazoa, Chordata, Lepidosauria, Squamata, Phrynosomatidae. The transcript has 3 exons.
UGGGGUCUGGUGGGGGAUGAUGGGUCCCCCAGUGCGGUGAACCUCGCCUUCUCCAUCAUCCUCGGGUGCUGCAUCAUCCUCGGCGGGAGGCUGGCUCCCUGGGAGGAGGAGGAGGAUGCCUUCUUCUUCCCUGCUGCUGCAGCAUCUUUCUCUCCAGCAGCAUCCUCUUCGGUCCUCCGGGAAGAAGGAGAAGGAGAAGGAGAAGCGGGCGAAGGGAGCAUCUCUGUCUCUGCGAAGCUGCUUCCUUGGGAUCCAGCGCCUUUUCCUUCGUUCCUGGGGAGGGAGAAGCCUUUCAGCCCCUCCAAGGGCUUGGGUUCCAAUCCUGACCUGAGAGUGGUGGCGAGUCCCAAGGAACAGGUGCUGAUGUCUUCUCCAUGAGCUGUCCGAUGCAUGGCUUGAAAAAGGAUGCUGUUUUCAUUCCACCCAAAAAAAUAAAGCACCCAAGGAAUAGUUGGAAGAGAAAUGAAGAUGUUGCAUCACUUCUUUAACCAGCUUCAAAACGGAGUUGAAAACCAUCCUGUUCAGAGAAGC